AUGGAUGAAUUAAUCAGCAAUUGCAUAUCAGAGCUCAGAGCGUACAGGGAUAAAAUCAGUAUUUUGGAGGAAAUUCAACACAAGCAAAAUCAUAUCAGCUCAUCGCUAGCACACGAGCUGGCUCUGCUGGCCGCAGGGACCCUCUGCCCCAGCACCUGCGGCUGCUGCUCCUCCUCAGCUGCCGUUCCCGGCCGCUCCCUCAGCCCUCACCGCGCGCGGCGCUCUGCCCUUCCUCGCGCACUCUGCCAUUCCUCGCGCACUCGCCGGAGCCCCGCUGCGGAGAUGAUCGCAGUGCCCUGCGGAGCUCUCUGGGGUGCAUGGAACUGGCUGUGUCCGGCACGGGGCAGCCCCCGCCUCUCCUCACAGAACCCCGUGCACCCUAAAGGGAGCCUUGGAAGAGAGGUCUUUAAAUACUCUGCACCAGUUUUGCUGUCCAGCUCCAUUGUACCAUACCCAGCUAGCAGUCCCUGCCACACACUCAGAGUACAGGACCUCACUGGAAACAGGAAGCAGCAUCUCCACCGAUCCGCUCAGUUGUGCAUAGAUAGACCCAACAGAUCAUUUAUUUCCCCUGGAUCUGUGUGGACUGCACUUGUGUUCUGCCUGUCAGUUGGGAAGUUACACAGCUGGGAGAUGAGAAAGGAGUCCAGUGUUGUAAAGAAUAAAGGCGAAUGUGGAAGAGGGCUUAUGUCCACUAAGAAGAGAAAAGCCUGUGCACACCGGCAUGCUAUACAUGCGUACAAUGUUUUGCACAAGCAUUUCCGUACUGCACGGUGUACUUUCAGGAUGUUUUGAGUGGUCCUCUCUCAGUUUUCAGCUGGCGUCCGAAAACAUUUCGAUUCCUGAACCAAUGAGAGUCCUCUGUAGUAUUAUCACACCUACUUUAGAUGCUCACAUCUUUGUGGCCUGUUCAUCAUCUUCUGUAACGGAGUGAUCGACUAGCAUUGAUCUGUUUGGAGAGCAGACAGAAACAGAACAGUAAAUUUCUUACUGUUCUUGUGAAACUUUGCCAAUUUCAAAAGGUUUAGUAACCAAGAAUGAAGAAUAAUGUCAAGUGGCAAUUAAUAAUAAUUUGUGGGGAAGUUUGAAUUUGAAUAAAUUGAAGAUCUCUUUGAAGCAAAAUAACUUAUCAGAGCACGUGUAGGCAGCCGAGCUUCCUCUUGAGUAGAGAGAAAGCAGGGAGAACCCUUGUUUCUUCCCUGAUUCUUUACACAUCUCGAUGAAUCACAUCCCCGUCACAUCUGGGUGUUACAGCGGUGCAGCAGAGCCCAAGAGCUCUGUUCGUGUUUCUCUUUCCAUUUUCCCCAGUCAGGAAGGGAUCCUGCUGAUGUGGCACCCAGAUAUGCACCAAAGGUCGUGAAAGAGAGGUCUGGUUUUGCAGAGCCUUUAACAUGAAAACACCCCUUAUUUAUUUUUUUUAGGAGCAACCUAGGAAACCUUCCCAUUCACUUGCACAUGGGCAGUAUUUGUUUUCCACUAAGGGCUGCAGAAUACAUGGGCUGUACUGUAUUCUAUGAACUGAGGCCUUCAAGUAUACCAGAAGCUACUUCAGGGCCUAUUCAUUUGCACAAAAUCUGAUGUUAUCUAUACUUUGUACAGUCCUUGCUCCUUAAUGUGGUGCGCACAAUGAGUGUCAUGGAAUUAGUAUGGGAACUGCAUGAUUUUAUUCUCAUUGCAUGCUUGAGCUCCGCAAUCUGUGAAUCAUUAGCUUGAAGUUCUUGUCCGUGGCUACAGAAGUACCCCAUCCUGGAGUCAGGAAGGACUUGUGGAAAACAGCUCUCUUGCUGCAGGCUUCCUUUUUCUCUACUCUGUAAGUAGACAGAAACAAUAUUUUUCNAUUAAAAAAAAAAAGUCAUUUUUUAAAAUGACCUCUCCAUUUCCAUUCUUCUUUUCUACAAUUUGCUCACUCCGAAGGAGGCAGGAGUCCCUUAUAGAGGAGUCAGGUGUUUCCAGCAAGCCUCUGAUUGCAGCCACCCCAAUGGACGCAGAUGAGGAGGGAUGGCAGGCUGUUUGAAGCAGGGGUCCGCUGGAAUUGUUUCUGCUUGUCUCCAGUUGGGGCUGGCAAUUCCAGCAUUGUGAUUCAGGAUAGACUGAAUCAUGUGCUUAAGCCCAUCUCCAGGCAAGAGCAGGUCUAUAUUUUGGUGUAUGAUUCAGUCCCACUAGGAUGUUUCAGUGAUGAUUAUAAGUGAAAACACUUUCAUAAAUUUCCGUGGCAGGAGCAGCUUAUUGCUGCUAUACCAGAAUGUCACAAAGUGACUGAGUCUCAGAAGCUGCUUAAGCCCCUUUAAUAUCAAGCUCUGUGGGGCACCUGCAGCUCUCAGCUCAUCCUCUUUGCUGCUCUGGUGUGCAAGACAACUUUGUAGCGUUUGAAGCCAUUAAAUGAACUGCCAGCCCUGAUUUAGAUGCAGUUUCAACGAUGGCAUAUGUGCUUUAAGUGAUCUAUGUAAGGAUUGUCUUCUAGGCUCUUUGUCAGAAAGAAUUCUUUAAAAAAAAGGUACUUUGGUAGUCUUUGUUCCUCGCCUCUGGUGUUGACAGCACGGACCCUGCCUGUAGAUGACGUGGGAUGGCUUCAAACGUGUCAGACAACACGGCUGCUGGCUGGCAAGGAGCAAGGCUGCUUCCUUUAAGUAAAGCGCAGCAUAAACGACAGACACAGGUCUCAGCUGUCAUGUGCUACUACUUAGGUAAAGGGAACACUAUUUUUAAAUCCAUUAUUUGAAAUAAGAUUUGAUAAAGGCUGAUGAUACGUUAUUUACCUAUUGUGAUCUUACAUCCCCAGAAACAAUAGCUGUACAGUGGUGACAGAUCUCACCAACAGCGAACAAGAAAUAAAUCUUUGGGUUCUUGUUCAUGAGAGCAAGGAUUUCUUUUCCUCACGCUGACAGCGAUGUCAGCUGGUUUGCUUUACUUCUGGCUCUCAUUUGAACUAUGAGCUCCUUUGCAAUCUGUCUUGAACAAAAUAUUAGCAGAGUGUGUGGGAUAAGUAACUGAAGUUGUCUUGAACUUGCAUUUGGAGUUCACCAUAUAUGUUGUUAGAAACAAAUAGUUCGCUUCCACUUGACAGUGACUUCAUCCAGAGCAGGGCUGAGUCAUAAUGCCUAUAGCACAGCUCUCCCAGGAGGCUGAUGCUGGCAGUGUUUAUGCAGUCGCAGAGCAGCUGAGAGCACACAAUUCUCUCCUCCUCCUUAUCCCCCAAAUCCAACAUCCUCCUGAUGCACAGCCAGCAAAAAGUGCAGAUUGCAGCAUUCCCAUAUUCAGCAUAAAAAUGAUGAAAAGGAAGCCAUUGAGUAAAUAAAUAGAAUAUGAAAAUGCUUUGUCUACACUCAGGAAAGUAGUGAUUUCAAGCCGAUAAACUACAACACCUCAAAUACUUUUUAGUCUGGUUAUAGCCUUCAUUUUAGUGUAAUUAAUGCUACCAUGUAUCUGAGAGAGUUCAUGAAAGUGUUCAGACUGCUUUGUCCAUAUGCCUUCUAUUCACAGUCCUAGUUUUUCUUAGCUCUCUGUGAUGCUCUUCUUUCCUAUGCAGUGGACAGCCAUCUUUUGGGAUCCCUUACCUUUCCAUGCCCUGACUUCACUGAAGUCUGCUGUGGGACUUUGGUACUGCUGACUGCCAAAAAUCCUGUGCAAAUACAAAGGGCUGUGUGGUGUCUCCUGUCACCACUGCUGUAACUGAUAAUCUGCAUUUCGGAAUGGAGAUGGUUCCUUGCACACGUGCCUUUUCUCUGCCUCUGUGGUAAGUGGAGUGUCAGUCCUUUCCAAAGCGUUUCUCACCCAGGAACCAACUUGGAGUGAUCACGUUCUGCAUUCUUCACAUUUGUGCAGAUUUCUACCUUCCACAAUCUGAGAUUUGUGUUAGGACUUUGAAGAAGCUCGGUGUGUGUGCUGGGACUCCCGCAGCUGUGUAGUUGGCGAUGCCUGCCAUUUAGCUGUGCCCCGUGAGAGCCCGCUGUGUGCCAGGCUUUUCUCUUUCAGUGUCUGGUCUCUACCGUGUUCAGAUGCAUCUGAUGGAUGGGCAGACCCUG
RNAcentral lists this long non-coding RNA (4022 nucleotides) under Pavo cristatus (Indian peafowl). RNAcentral's name for it is "lncRNA (ENSPSTG00000015863.1)". Lineage: Eukaryota; Metazoa; Chordata; Aves; Galliformes; Phasianidae. The record is from RNAcentral.